Molecule: non-coding RNA, 1307 nt
Filed under: Pongo abelii (Sumatran orangutan)
Lineage: Eukaryota; Metazoa; Chordata; Mammalia; Primates; Hominidae
Source: RNAcentral
UGACUUCAUGAGACCUGAGGCAAUGACAAAGAGCCCCCAGGAUCUUGCUCUGUCACCCAGCCUGGAGUGCAGUCGUGGGUUCACAGCUCACUGCAGCCUCAACCUAUGGGCUCACGUGAUCUUCCUAUCUCAGCCUUCCAAGUAGCUGGGACUACAGGCAUGCGCCACCACACCUGGGAUGUCUGGUCCCCUGGGCACGAACUUGUGGAUGAAGCAGGUGUUAAUAGGGUCCCAUCACUGGGGCACUGGGAACCCACCGUGUGCUGACGAGGCUAUCAUGUCACUAGGAACAAAGUGAGCAAGGUGCUAAGAUCUCCCUUCAUAUCCUGUUGGGAAACUGGUUCCUAUGAGAAGAAUAAUCCUUCUUGGCUUGAGUUAUGAAGAAACGGAGGGCUCCGUGUGAACACUAUUGAAAGCUCUGGACAACAGUGGCAGGGAGUCUUAGCUCUAAACGUACUAGCUGGGUGACCUUGAGAACACUGCCUAAUUACUCUCGGAGCCCAGUGUGGGGCCUAAGAGGGACUGGGCAUCAGCUUUUAACCUCGCUUCCAGACGUUCUGAGCCCUGUUGUUGGUGGGAUGGUCCUGUUUGGCAUGACGGUGGGUCCAUUCUUCUGGGAGGGGGCAAGGGCUGGUGCACAUCUGUGCCCCUGUGCCAGCCUGAGACAUCUGUGAUGGCACAUCAAUCAGACUAGGAAGGUGAUGGAAUAAAGCUGUGUCUUGGACCUCUCAAUAUGCACAAUGCAUAGCAUGUGCUUCUAGCAGAGCGUGGAGUUAUAAGCCUAGGUCAUUUAGGCCAUCUGUUGCUGAUUAAUUUAGAGGAAAUCAAAUAUUUCCAGCAAAGCUCCAAGAGCUGUUUAUCAAGCUGAGAUCUGGAAGUGAUUAAGAAUUUCAACAAACUUUCCAUGUUUGGUAGUCACCACUAGUGAGUGUCUAGAGGCUGGGUUUUUGCAGAGGAGUCGUGGGGCAAGCAAAUAAGAGACUAGUCAUUUUCCAUGCUUCUCAGUGCCUUUAGUGUAUGAAUAUCACAAUAUAACUUCAUGAGAAUGUCUAAUAAUGAAAAAUAAACUACUCAUAAGGCAGCCACCUAAAACCUAUACAUGAGAUCUGAUGGGUUUUGUCCAAAUGCAUAUUAUAAUCAUCUUCUUUAAAUAGUUUUAAAUUCAAUAGUUCAUUUCAUAAACACUUUCACAUUCUUAAGAAUUUUCAUUAUUCCAUGGAGCUGCAGUGCCAUAAUUUAACUCACUAUUCCAAUUCAGGUUUUUCUGCUAUUAUAGUUAACGUUGUAAUAAAAAUUUGUCUGCAUUG